GAUGAACGCUGGCGGCGUGCCUAAUACAUGCAAGUCGAGCGAACAGACGAGGAGCUUGCUCCUUUGACGUUAGCGGCGGACGGGUGAGUAACACGUGGGUAACCUACCUAUAAGACUGGGAUAACUUCGGGAAACCGGAGCUAAUACCGGAUAAUAUUUCGAACCGCAUGGUUCGAUAGUGAAAGAUGGCUUUGCUAUCACUUAUAGAUGGACCUGCGCCGUAUUAGCUAGUUGGUAAGGUAACGGCUUACCAAGGCAACGAUACGUAGCCGACCUGAGAGGGUGAUCGGCCACACUGGAACUGAGACACGGUCCAGACUCCUACGGGAGGCAGCAGUAGGGAAUCCUCCGCAAUGGGCGAAAGCCUGACGGAGCAACGCCGCGUGAGUGAUGAAGGUCUUCGGAUCGUAAAACUCUGUUAUUAGGGAAGAACAAACGUGUAAGUAACUGUGCACGUCUUGACGGUACCUAAUCAGAAAGCCACGGCUAACUACGUG
This 497-nucleotide ribosomal RNA is filed under the name uncultured bacterium. RNAcentral describes it as "partial 16S ribosomal RNA". It matches the Rfam family "Bacterial small subunit ribosomal RNA", at positions 28 to 507 of the family's 1533-position model. The record is from RNAcentral.